This 297-nucleotide ribosomal RNA is filed under the name Sinochauliodes squalidus. RNAcentral describes it as "partial large subunit ribosomal RNA". The record is from RNAcentral. Lineage: Eukaryota; Metazoa; Arthropoda; Insecta; Megaloptera; Corydalidae.
ACUGAAAUUUUUGAAGGGCCGCGGUAUUUUGACUGUGCAAAGGUAGCAUAAUCAUUAGUCUUUUAAUUGGAGGCUUGUAUGAAUGGUUGGAUGAGGUAUUAACUGUCUCAAUUUAAUAAAUAAAAGAAUUUUAUUUUUAAGUUAAAAAGCUUAAAUUUUAUUAAAAGACGAGAAGACCCUAUAGAUCUUUAUAGUUAAAUUUAUAAUAAUUUUUUAGAUUAAUUUUAUUUUUAUAAAUAUAAUUAUUAUAUUGGGGUGAUAAAAAAAUUUAUAAAACUUUUUUUGUAAAUUAACAAU